Molecule: ribosomal RNA, 617 nt
Filed under: uncultured bacterium
Lineage: Bacteria
Description: bacterial SSU rRNA
Rfam family: Bacterial small subunit ribosomal RNA
Source: RNAcentral
GGCGCGUAGGCGGUCGGCCAAGCGUGCGGUGAAAGCCCGGGGCUCAACCCCGGGUCGGCCGUGCGAACUGGCUGACUGGAGCACUGUAGAGGCGGGUGGAAUUCCGGGUGUAGCGGUGGAAUGCGUAGAGAUCCGGAAGAACACCGGUGGCGAAGGCGGCCCGCUGGGCAGUGGCUGACGCUGAGGCGCGACAGCGUAGGGAGCAAACAGGAUUAGAUACCCUGGUAGUCCACGCCGUAAACGAUGGGCACUAGGUGCCUGGGGGAGCGACCCCCCGGGUGCCGGCGCUAACGCAUUAAGUGCCCCGCCUGGGGAGUACGGCCGCAAGGCUGAAACUCAAAGGAAUUGACGGGGGCCCGCACAAGCGGUGGAGCAUGUGGUUUAAUUCGACGCAACGCGAAGAACCUUACCUGGGCUUGACAUGCGCGGGAAAGCCGCCCGAAACGGCGGCCCCUCUUCGGAGUCCGCGCACAGGUGCUGCAUGGCUGUCGUCAGCUCGUGUCGUGAGAUGUUGGGUUAAGUCCCGCAACGAGCGCAACCCUCGGCCCUAGUUACCAGCAAAUAAAGCCGGACACUCUAGGACGACUGCCGGUGCCAAACCGGAGGAAGGUGGGGAC